Long non-coding RNA from Mustela erminea (ermine), 1162 nucleotides. RefSeq lists it as uncharacterized. Lineage: Eukaryota; Metazoa; Chordata; Mammalia; Carnivora; Mustelidae. The transcript is spliced from 5 exons. The record is from RefSeq and is a predicted model, not a curated record.
AGAUCGUACUGGUCUGAGCAGAUGCUUCAGUUUCUUUCUGAAUCUGAAGCCCACUCCUCUUUCUAACAACUGCAUGUCUGCUGUUGAACAAAUCACACUGCGGUCUUAAUGUAUUUCUGUUAAGAAACUGCUUUUCACCUCAACCAAAAUUAUAUCUCAGAACUGACACCACUAAACUCCAGAUGUCUCAACUUUCACUGCUGAUGUUGACCACUCUAAUGUCCCCACUGGCCCUUUGUCUCUGCUGCCUGAGAAAGUGGAUCUUCUUGUCAGAGUUGUGCCACCAAGCCCUGGAAUGAUUCUCUACCAGCCCUUCUUCUUUGAGUCACAGUGCCGAGGGGCUUCACUUACGGGACCUGAAAUCCUUGCUCCUCCUGUGACUGGCUUUUCUGUGAUGUUCUUCCUCAUCACUGAGUAUUGAAAUUCGAGUGGAUAUUUAGAGGGCCUUUUCCAAGAGGAAAAUCACCAGUGUCCGUCAGAUAUACACACACCAGAUGCGAAAACAAGAAUAAUAGAAGUGUGUAAUUUUAGCUAAAGCCAAAUAUGGUCAGAAGAUGAUUCCAAGAAGUUAUUCCCCAUUCAAGUACAUUUUGGAUUUUUUAGAGCCUUCAACGAGAUGAACCAGUAGGUUGGAUGUAUUACUUCUGGGAGAGUGCAACUGGGACUCUGUGUGUUGAUCAAGUUGCUUAACUCAACAUAUGCCCAGAAUUAUAUAAAGAGCAAAUAAAUGUCCAAAAAAUAAAGAUGAAGGGGAUUAUAUUUUUAGCAUGGAGGUCAAGUUAUGGCAUAUGAAGGUAUCAUGAUGGAUGUUAUAUUUUCCUGUUCUUAUUUAAUCUUCAAAACUCUUCGGGGUGAUAUUAUCUCCAUUUUACUCAUGAGGCAAAUUUAUCUCAGAGAAGAUAAAUAAUCCGCCCAUGAUCAUAGCGCUGGUAAAAGGGACAAAAUAGUACUUUAGUACAAAGCUACAUGGCUCCAAAGUCCAAGGUAUGUCUUUUAUCUAAAAUGAAAUACAGACCAAUAUAAAGGAACAACUUACCAUAUGUUUAUGACUGUGAAGAGCAAUAUAUAAAAAGGUUCAUUGUAGGAAAUUUCAUUCAAAAUAAAUAAAGUAAGAGUCACACAAAGUACUAUGUUUUAAAACAAACGAGCAAAGGAAAAAGAG